UCGAGAAUCAUUCGCAAUGGGCGAAAGCCUGACGAUGCGACGCUGUGUGUGCGAUGAAGGCCUUCGGGUUGUAAAGCACUUUCGCUUGGGAACAAGGGAUAUUGGCUAAUAUCCAAUAAACUUGAGGGUACCAGGUAAAGAAGCACCGGCUAACUCCGUGCCAGCAGCUGCGGUAAUACGGAGGGUGCGAGCAUUAAUCGGAUUUAUUGGGCGUAAAGGGCGCGUAGGCGGGAACGUAAGUCAGAUGUGAAAUCCCGGGGCUCAACCCCGGAACAGCAUUUGGUACUGCGUUUCUAGAGGGUAGGCGGAGAAAAUGGAAUUCCACAAGUAGCGGUGAAAUGCGUAGAUAUGUGGAAGAACACCGGUGGCGAAGGCGAUUUUCUAGCUUAUACCUGACGCUGAGGCGCGAAAGCAAGGGGAUCAAACA
This 427-nucleotide ribosomal RNA is filed under the name uncultured bacterium. RNAcentral describes it as "bacterial SSU rRNA". It matches the Rfam family "Bacterial small subunit ribosomal RNA", at positions 355 to 774 of the family's 1533-position model. The record is from RNAcentral.